This is a long non-coding RNA of Suricata suricatta (meerkat), 1281 nucleotides long. RefSeq lists it as uncharacterized. The record is from RefSeq and is a predicted model, not a curated record. The transcript is spliced from 3 exons. Lineage: Eukaryota; Metazoa; Chordata; Mammalia; Carnivora; Herpestidae.
ACUUGGGGCUGUAAAGACCCUGCCUGUGUCACACUCAGAGACUACAGAGCAGAGUUACAGCCAAGCCUGGAAGCAAGAUAGGAAAGAAGAGAAUGGAAGAAAAUUCACUCAUUUAAACGUCCAUCUGCUUAAUAAGCAGUAUUGACCCUAUGACAUGCCAGGCCCAGGGGAUGAUGUUAGCAUAAAAUGGUGAACAAGAAAGCCCAUCAAUUAGCAAAUGGAUAAAGAAGAUGUGCUAUAUGUACAAUGGAAUAUUAUUUAUCCAAAAAGAAGAACAAAAACUUAACAUCUACACAUGGAAGGAUCUGGAGAGUAUUAUGCUAAGUGAAAUCAGUCCAAGGAAGACAAAUACCAUAUGAUUUCAUUCAUAUAUGGAGUUUAAGAAACAAACAGGCCCCUGUCUAAAAAUCCGUGUUCUUUCAUCUAUGCUUGGCUUCAAUCAAUGAGAAAACACUCUAUUCACUAACUGAGAGGAAGGUUCAAGCCACCUCUGAAUCUGACGUACAAAUAGCAAAACGAAAACCUCUGUAACCUUGUCACAGACUGAUCAAGGCUAUAUUCUGCUCCUGGCAAGGAGGUAAAACAGGUAGUUCAACUGUAACUGUGAAAGAGAAAGUGAGAGUAAAAAAAAAAAAAAAAAGGGUUGACAGCACCAAACUGUACAGCACUUGAACUGGCAUGGAGAUGGCCUCUGUGGAUCUUUUCUUUUGCAACAAAUUAAGGUGCAGCCGAGAAGUCUGACGUCUGUUCCUAGUGUGAACUGUGGCUGCCACAAGUAUUGGAAGACUGCGAUAGAUGCUCUUUGUAUCUCCUUUCCACCUCACAUUCAACCAAGACUUGGUUCCAGAAGGACCACGUCAUUCCUAAUUGUGAUAUUCAUGCUGUCCGCAUGGGAGCCACUCAGAUGAAAGGUAAUUGUGCAAAGCAUCACAGGCUGGUUGAAACUCAGGCCCCUGAAUUUUUCACUGAGAAAUAGACAUCGCUACUUUUGCUUUAAAAAAUAAUUCCCAGAAUAUGAUAUUGAAAGGUUUUGUUUUUUAUAAUACCUAGUAAAUUCUACUAAGUUUCACCAACUUCUUUUCCUUGAUUACACUUCAAAGUACUGUCUAUAUACUUAGUACUUUCAAAUUUGCAUUUAUAAAUUAAUUUUCAAGUUCCCCUUUAAAAUUACCUUUUAAGCUCAAUUGAAAAUAUUCGUGUAAUUCACUGAAAUACACAUACACACAUAUUUCAAUACUGGUUGUAAUUACAAGACUUCAGCCUUUCAGAUAUUUAUGGUUU